GAUGAACGCUGGCGGCGUGCCUAAUACAUGCAAGUCGAGCGAAUAUUCGAGGAGCUUGCUUCGCUACAGUUAGAGACGGACAGGUGAGAAACAGGUGGAAAACCGUCCUAAAAGACUCGAAUAACUUCGGGAAACCGGAGGUAAUAGGUGAUAAUAUCUUGAACCUCAAGUUUCAACAGUGAAGAACGGUGUUAGGGGCACUUGCGGAUCGAUUCGCGCGACAUUCGGUGGUUGGGCAGGUAACGGCUUACCAAGGCAACCAUGCCUACGAGACCUGAGAGGGUGAUCGGCCACACUGGAACUGAGCCACGGUCCAGACUCCUACGGGAGGCAGCAGUAGGGAACCUUCCGCAAUGGGCGAAAGCCUGACGGAGCAACGUCGCGUGAGUGAUGAGGUUCUUCGGUUCGUAAAACCCUGUUAUAAGGGAAGAAAAAAUGGGGAAGGAACUAUGCACGCCUUGACGGUACCUAAUCAGAAAGCCACGGCUAACUACGUG
RNAcentral lists this ribosomal RNA (497 nucleotides) under uncultured bacterium. Its description in RNAcentral is "partial 16S ribosomal RNA". It matches the Rfam family "Bacterial small subunit ribosomal RNA", at positions 28 to 507 of the family's 1533-position model. The record is from RNAcentral.